Long non-coding RNA from Gallus gallus (chicken), 1416 nucleotides. RefSeq lists it as uncharacterized. The transcript is spliced from 3 exons. NCBI's taxonomy places the organism in Eukaryota, Metazoa, Chordata, Aves, Galliformes, Phasianidae. The record is from RefSeq and is a predicted model, not a curated record.
CUCUGCCCAAGGCAGCUCCUGAGCUCCACAUCUCCCACCAGUCUUUCUCUGUUUGUGAACAUCAGGACUAACCGGGCACCUCUCCUGGUCCCCUCCUUUUGCUCAGUGGUGACAAGACAGGAGGUCCACUAGUAUACGGGAUGUGUCAGCCUGGAGCUUUUCUUGUCGGUUAGAUAAGAUUAUCUUGUGAGACUUUCCACCACAUUUUGCAGGUAGGUUUAUUGUCUGAACUUUGCUCACUAGAUCAUAAUUAUAUUUAAAUUUGUCUCUCCUUUCCUGAUCCAGCAACUUAAGUGCUUUUACAGUCAUCCCAUGUGACAGAAACCACUAUGGUUCAUGUCUCACCACAAUUAAUUUAAUUAGCACCUGAUGAGAUCUAUAGUAGGUUAACCAUCAGUGGCCACUAGGUGCUCACCAAACCAUUCUCUCAUUUCCCCUCCUCACCAUAGCAAGAACAAAACAAGACGAAAAAAACUGAUAGAUUGAGAUAAGGACAGAGAAAAUCCUCACUAAUUACUGCCAUAGGCAGAGAAGACUUGACAUGGAUAAGAUUAAUUUGAUUUAUUGCCAAGCAAUAUAGUAAUAGGAUAGUGAGAAAAACAAAACUUAAAGCACAUUCUUCCCACUCCUCUAUCCCUUAUUCCCAGGCUCAGCUUCACUCGUGAUUCUUUGACUUCCUUCCCCUUGAGCAGUGCAAGGAGAUGGAGUUUGAAUGUAACGGUUGGUCCAUGACGUGUCAUCUCUGUCACUUCUUCAUCCUCACACUGUUCCCUAGUCCAGCAUGGUGCCUCUUCCACAGGAUACAGUCCUUCAUUAAUUAAUCCAGUGCAAGCAAUCCACAGGCUGCAGGUCUUUGAGAACUACUCCAGCUUUUGUCUCCCAUGGGCUGCAGCUCUGGCCUGGGGCUGCUCCUGCCAGGGCUUUCCAGGUGCUGUGCCUCCUCUGGGCCCUGUCCACCACAGCUCUGCAGGUGCCUCCAUAAUGGCCCAGGGAAAUCUGUUCCACAUGGUGCCCAUGGGCUGCAGGGGAACUGUGAGAAAGACUGUCUAGAAGUUUGUCAAUUUGUAAGUUUGACUCCAGCAAGGAUUUUAGUGAAGCCAUCAUGUCUUAUUCAUAAUUGCAAUGGUGGAUGUACACUGUCUUAUGGCAAGAGAGGAAACACACCUUUCCAGCAAAAUACAGACUGUUAUAUACCCUUUCUCCUGGUGGACGUUCUAAUCUCCCCAAGUUAAAUUACUCAUUGGUGGAGCAUCCCCUGCUCACAGUCUUCUUGAUGCAGUUACUAAGCAAUAUUUCCAUAUUAGGUCUUUUACCAACCAUCCUUCCAAUGUAUCGACUGCACCGCUCAGCUUGAUGUCAUAUGCAAACUUGCCGAGGGUGCACUCGAUGCCAUCAUCUGUGUCACUGAUAAAGAUG